Molecule: long non-coding RNA, 294 nt
Organism: Mya arenaria
Lineage: Eukaryota; Metazoa; Mollusca; Bivalvia; Myida; Myidae
Exons: 4
Source: RefSeq, a predicted model, not a curated record
AGCAAAGCUACAAUAUAUAAACGAGAAUAAUACUAUACAGUUGGCCCAACUUCAGCCGCCGCCAGUGGCAGAAAGAGAUGACGUAACACAUGCACAUACUGGCAUUGCUGAAUAUGCUGUCAUCCACCGGACACGCAGGGAUCAAGAAAACGUUGCUCUGCCUUCUAGCCAAUACAUGCCUUCAUGUGAUGCUAUGAAUGAGAGUUUCGAAAAUGCAGCGACUGAAAGUACAGUGCACUUAGAACAACCAUCAAACAAGAAUGGUGAUUCAGUGGAAACAGGUCCUGAUGUACG